Molecule: ribosomal RNA, 253 nt
Filed under: uncultured bacterium
Lineage: Bacteria
Description: partial 16S ribosomal RNA
Rfam family: Bacterial small subunit ribosomal RNA
Source: RNAcentral
UACGGGGGGGGCAAGCGUUGUUCGGAAUUACUGGGCGUAAAGGGCCCGUAGGUGGCCAACUAAGUCAGACGUGAAAUCCCUCGGCUUAACCGGGGAACUGCGUCUGAUACUGGAUGGCUUGAGAUUGGGAGAGGGAUGCGGAAUUCCAGGUGUAGCGGUGAAAUGCGUAGAUAUCUGGAGGAACACCGGUGGCGAAGGCGGCAUCCUGGACCAACACUGACACUGAGGAGCGAAAGCCAGGGGAGCAAACGGG